RNAcentral lists this long non-coding RNA (521 nucleotides) under Dasypus novemcinctus (nine-banded armadillo). RNAcentral describes it as "lncRNA (ENSDNOG00000051674.1)". The record is from RNAcentral. Lineage: Eukaryota; Metazoa; Chordata; Mammalia; Cingulata; Dasypodidae.
GGUGGCGAAGCAGAACUAAGGAAGAGAAGAGGAGAGGCACCAGCCAGAUUCCGCCAGGAGGGCGUGAAUCCGGGUGCAAGCCAGCACAGGUCCUGCCUUCUCCCGGCCAGUGUCAGCAGCGGGAGGGGUCACGCGGGAUCUCCGCGGGCAGAUCUGCGUGGGGAUCAGCCGGGAGCGGCAGGCAAGGAACUCCCCUGGAUCCGCCCAGGGCGGCUGGACCCUGCACGUCCUCGCUCCAAGCCAGCUUGGGAAAGAAGUUUCCCCCGGGAAGCCGCCGGACGGAUCCGGUGUCGGAGGCGACUCAGGUGCCGUAAACUGCAAACAAUUAUCCUGUCUUAAUACUACAAACAAAUCACUGUGGAAUUGAAGGGAACUUAAUUUACAGGUAAGAAUAUUUUCCUUAAUCAGUUGCUUUAUGGAUUUUUGAGUGUACCUAAUUAUUGCAGUGUGUGCUAGAAGAGUAUUGCCAGAGGCAGUGACUCAGGAUGAGAAGGUUGUCACAAAACUUCUGUAUUCACUGC